This 497-nucleotide ribosomal RNA is filed under the name uncultured bacterium. RNAcentral describes it as "partial 16S ribosomal RNA". It matches the Rfam family "Bacterial small subunit ribosomal RNA", at positions 28 to 507 of the family's 1533-position model. The record is from RNAcentral.
GACGAACGCUGGCGGCGUGCCUAAUACAUGCAAGUUGAGCGCUGAAGGUUGGUACUUGUACCGACUGGAUGAGCAGCGAACGGGUGAGUAACGCGUGGGGAAUCUGCCUUUGAGCGGGGGACAACAUUUGGAAACGAAUGCUAAUACCGCAUAAAAACUUUAAACACAAGUUUUAAGUUUGAAAGAUGCAAUUGCAUCACUCAAAGAUGAUCCCGCGUUGUAUUAGCUAGUUGGUGAGGUAAAGGCUCACCAAGGCGAUGAUACAUAGCCGACCUGAGAGGGUGAUCUGCCACAUUGGGACGGAGACACGGCCCAAACUCCUACGGGAGGCAGCAGUAGGGAAUCUUCGGCAAUGGAAGAAAGUCUGACCGAGCAACGCCGCGUGAGUGAAGAAUGUUUUCGGAUCGUAAAACUCUGUUGGUAGAGAAGAACGUUGGUGAGAGUGGAAAGCUCAUAAAGUGACGGUAACUACCCAGAAAGGGACGGCUAACUACGUG